GAACGAACGCUGGCGGCAGGCUUAACACAUGCAAGUCGAACGAUAUAGUGGCAGACGGGUGAGUAACGCGUGGAAACGUGCCUUUCACUACGGAAUAGCUUUUGGAAACGAAAGGUAAUACCGUAUACGCCCUCCGGGGGAAAGAUUUAUCGGUGAAAGAUCGGUCCGCGUUAGAUUAGCUAGUUGGUGAGGUAACGGCUCACCAAGGCUACGAUCUAUAGCUGGUCUGAGAGGAUGAUCAGCCACACUGGGACUGAGACACGGCCCAGACUCCUACGGGAGGCAGCAGUGGGGAAUAUUGCACAAUGGGCGCAAGCCUGAUGCAGCCAUGCCGCGUGAAUGAUGAAGGCCUUAGGGUUGUAAAAUUCUUUCGCCAAGGAUGAUAAUGACAGUACUUGGUAAAGAAGCCCCGGCUAACUUCGUGCCAGCAGCCGCGGUAAUACGAAGGGGGCUAGCGUUGUUCGGAAUUACUGGGCGUAAAGCGCACGUAGGCGGACUUUUAAGUCAGAUGUGAAAUCCCGAGGCUCAACCUCGGAACUGCAUUUGAAACUGGGAGUCUAGAGAUCAGGAGAGGUUAGCGGAAUACCGAGUGUAGAGGUGAAAUUCGUAGAUUAUUCGGUGGAACACCAGUGGCGAAGGCGGCUAACUGGACUGAUACUGACGCUGAGGUGCGAAAGUGUGGGGAGCAAACAGGAUUAGAUACCCUGGUAGUCCACACCGUAAACGAUGAGUGCUAGUUGUCUGCAGGCAUGCCUGUAGGUGACGCAGCUAACGCAUUAAGCACUCCGCCUGGGGAGUACGGCCGCAAGGUUAAAACUCAAAGAAAUUGACGGGGGCCCGCACAAGCGGUGGAGCAUGUGGUUUAAUUCGAAGCAACGCGCAGAACCUUACCUACGCUUGACAUGCCCGGACGAUUUCCAGAGAUGGAUCUCUCCCUUCGGGGCCGGUGCACAGGUGCUGCAUGGCUGUCGUCAGCUCGUGUCGUGAGAUGUUGGGUUAAGUCCCGCAACGAGCGCAACCCUCAUCCUUAGUUGCCAUCACGUUUGGGUGGGCACUCUAGGGAAACUGCCGGUGCUAAGCCGGAGGAAGGCGGGGAUGACGUCAAGUCCUCAUGGCCCUUACGCGUAGGGCUACACACGUGCUACAAUGGCAGUGACAAUGGGAUAAUCCCCAAAAGCUGUCUCAGUUCGGAUUGUCGGCUGCAACUCGCCGGCAUGAAGUUGGAAUCGCUAGUAAUCGUGGAUCAGCAUGCCACGGUGAAUACGUUCCCGGGCCUUGUACACACCGCCCGUCACACCAUGGGAGUUGGAUCUACCCGAAGAUUGUGAGCUAACUUCGGAGGCAGCAAGCCACGGUAGGUUCAGCGACUGGGGU
RNAcentral lists this ribosomal RNA (1374 nucleotides) under uncultured prokaryote. RNAcentral's name for it is "partial 16S ribosomal RNA". It matches the Rfam family "Bacterial small subunit ribosomal RNA". The record is from RNAcentral.